CGCUUCGGUAAGCAAUGGUUCAGUUGGCUUAGAUAGAUGUUGGUGACUUCAGAUGUAGAAGCAAGCUGGAUCAGACCUAACUUAGUGGUAGGAGAGGCUGAGAGGGCUGGACUGUUCAGCCAGGAGACGAGGAGGCUGAGGGGGAUCUCAUCAAUGUCUAUUAAUGUCUGAAGGGAGGAGACAAAGAGCUCAGAGUCAGGCUCUUGUCAGCAGCGCCAAUGGCCAGAGGAAGUGGGCACGAACUGGAACACAGGAGAUUCCCUCUGACCAUCAGUGCCGUGAUGGAGCACUCAGAAAGGGCCUUUCCAGGGCGAAUCCUCUCACAGUUCCCACUGUGGUGUAAUGGUGUAUUUCAAAUCCUCAAGGUACAACUGGUGUGUCAGCUACCCACAUUUUAAAUGCCUUUGGUAAAAUGGCUCUCCUAUGGAUGUAGCCAUUCUGAGGUAGUCUUGGCCUUUGGCGAUUCCUUACUUUCCCUAAAAUGUGGAUGAGGUGCCUCACAGGGAUCCUUGGGGCCAUAAGAAAGGGCAGCAGAAGGAGCAGCCAUAGGAACAGCCACCUUUCAAAAGAGUGGUGGAAAUGUUGGCACAAAGUACAAUAGGAUUCAGGGAGUUUAUGAGGCAGUGAGAGGCAGGAAGACAGUAAGUGAAAGGCAGUUGAAUUGGGAGAGAAAGGGGAGGGCUGGAGGAGAUAAUGAGAUUAGUUGCCACAAAAGCAGUGCAGUGUUUCUUUAAUGUGCUACAUAGAACAGAUGGUGAAAGGCUGUUGAGUUUUUAUAUCGGGGGGUCAAGUUUUAUGAGAGCAUACAUUUUCCCUGUGCUUGUUACCUGAAAGUGAUAUCACUUAUCCAGGCCUUCCCGGGAUUCAUUUGCCUCUGAAAUGGCAGGCAGGCAUUCUGCGGUGGGGGCUUGAGGUGGGUGAGAUUUGCCCAGUACCUGUGGCACAUGGCUGGGGGCAGCACCAUUCAGCAUGUGCAAGAAUGUCCUCAGGAGCAGUAGAAGUAAUUUCACAGAAUUAUAGAACGUGCUGAAGGAAUUGGCCCCAGGAGAUGUGUUCCUUCCUUUCAGUAAUUCCUAUUGCUAUUCAAGCCCAGCAAAGCAGUUUUGCUAAGGCUGUGACAUUUCUUUUUGUUGCUUUUUCUCUUGUGUAACACUACCAGCAGAUGGUUAUUUGGAGCAGGAAUGUCCACGUAACAUUUGGGGUUUCUCCUGACAAAUGGCAAGAGUCGGCUCCGACCCAGUGACCUCUUACAAGUCUGCCAGCAUAAUCAGAAGUUAAUUUCAGGUCUAGUGAUGGGCCCACAGGGUUCUAUCCCUGAGGAGCUCGGCAGCGCUCCCCUGUGCCGUUCCCAGAGGUGUGCAGAAUCCCUCAGAUGGCAGAGCUCUGAUUUCCGAGGAUCAUUGCAAAGCAAACUCAAUUUCAUGCAGGUUGUGACCUCUCGUUCGAGUGCUCGGAGAUUUGCGACCUACUUCAUGACGGAGCUUUUUGUUUGCUUUUAGCUCUUUGGAUGGAGAAACCAAGAAGUAAGAUAAGUGCCAGAGGACAAAUGUUUAUUUUUAACACUAGCCUCUCAGUGUAACUAGCUGUAGUUCUCUUGCUUUUUCUCCUGACCCUCACUAGAUCUCCCAUACCUCACAUGAAGUAUUAAGUGGAAUGCCACCAAAUCUCUGAAACUCAAUAAAUAGUCCGUAGCUUAGAAUAAUGCUGUGUAUUGUCCCUGGCUAAACUGAUUUAAGCUUUACCAAAUCUAUGGGGAAGAAAGGGCAAAAAAAAAAAAAAGCGGAUAUUUUCCCUGCUCUGUCUCUUAAUCCACCUUUCUCUCUACUAAUCUGAAGAUGAGGUUGUGAAUGGCGAAUAAGGAGGCCAGGGCUCAGUGACAGACUGCCGAGCAUCUGGUCUUGAUCUGCUGUAUAUCACAGAUAUUUUGAAGCUCAUCACAGCAGCAUGUUGGCUUCCUAAACUGUAAAUAAUUACUUCUAUAAAGCCCUGUUUCAGCUUUAACAAAACAUCAUUUUCCAUUCCAACUGUUGUCCUGGAGUAAGCCUAGAUAGGCAAAUUAAAUGUUACAGCAAGAUAGGCAGUGUUGUGAAGCCAUGCUUUGGGGUUAUUUUUUGCAGGGAGGAAAGCACAGCACUACUGCUGUAGCAUAACCAGGUCAGACUGAAUUUUCCCCAGAUCAGAUUUUCCCUCUUCCUAAAAUCACAGAAGUGCCAGCAAUUGAGCUGUAACACACAUUGCCUUUCCAAAUAGCGUGCUUUAAGGCAAGGGGUACACAGCAAGCAGACCUCAAGGAGUCUGAAGUAAAAAGGACCGGAUGGGAACACCGCUCUGAGACUUCACUGAAGCAGCUCUGAUCCUCGUUUUGCUUUGUCAACAUAGAACCUCCAAGACAGACCCUGAUGUAUUUACUUUGUCACGUGAGAAGGGCUGUGCAGAAGCACUGGUCUGGCUCUCCUGCACCAGAAGUCUAAGGACAGACCCCAGAGCUGCUGUACCAUGAAUUCUGCCUCAACCCCUGCCAGAGCAGAGCUGUCAGGGAUGUGGGAUAUGGCCGAGCACAGUCCUGGGAGAAGAGUGUAUACUGUUCCUGUUUCGGACAGAAGCAGAAAAUACCAGUAUCCCACCAGUGGAUGUACAGAUGACAUUCACAAAAGGCUCAGCACUCAGAACUCUUGCAGCGUAGGCCUGACCUGAGCACGCAGCGGGACCCUUCCACUGCCUCUGAAUGGAGCCCUGUGUCAGCGAUGCAUGGCGGGGCUAAUCAGGUAAUGCGAGGAAACAGCUGCGAAGCGCCCAGCCUUCGGGGUCUGUGUGUCUCACCCGUUUUGUGCCCCGUGAGCAAAACGUAUCCUUUAGUAACAGCUCCAAGUUACAUUUGCUAAAUAAACACUCUGCAGUUCUGCAGUUACAUUGAGUGCUUUGGGUUGUUUCUGCCGUCUAAAAUAUUGCUAUUCUCAAACUGAACGCCGCGGUACAUUUGACAUAAUCCAGGUAUGAGUAAAGAAUUAUACAAAAAUGCGAGAGAUGCACUUUGAAGCUUAUGUGCCAAUGGAUUAAAACAUAUCUAUGCAACCUGUGAAUAAAUGCAUGAUAUGAAGGAGAAUUUUCAAGAAACCAAGGCAACUCUGCAGCUAAGGAUCUCUAACGCACAGAAUAACGUGUUCUGUCUGCUGCUGCUGCUGCUGGCAGUAUUUCGGAGCUGCACAAUUUGGAUAUUGGAUGUCUCUGGAUUCGAACACAAUGGGUUUGCCAGUACAACUACAGAAAUGUUUGAGCAGAGCUGGAACAACAGGAGGUGGUGAGGACCGGCAUUACUGAUGCUGAGCAUUAUUCUGGGGCCUUUGUGACAUCUGCCUGUGAAUUUGUUCAGCUUGGGUUGAACGUCUGUAUACCAAGCUUUGCCCUUUUUUAUUUACAGGCUUCUAUAAAGUCGAAAUAACAGCAGCUUACGUUUUCCAGUAACAGUCAUUGGAAAGUCUCGUGCUGAGGAGCGCUUCACAGCCUGUGCGUUAUCCGACAUUCCUGCUGUCUGCCUUCCCCAGACUCCAACCCGGUUCAUACAGCUUAGUCCUACAGCUACCUUAGUCCAUACAGCUUAGGGCCACGGGGCAGUCCUGUGCCUCAGUGCUGGAGAAUGGAGGCGGCUGGGAUUAUCAGCCCAGUAAAACGAAGGGGUACGGCUGCUUUCUAGAAAUGAAGUGGGGGGUAAACAAGCAGAGAGGAGGGCUACCGAAGCCAAAGAAGAGAAGUGGCACCAGAACAAAUGGGUAUGAAAUGAGUGGGAAUACAUUUAGGCCGGAAACAUAGAGGUUUCCAAACUUCAAAAGGAUGCGAUUUUAGAAAGCUUCCUAAUUAGAAGAGUGCAUGCAAACUCCCAUAGCAUUAUUAUGCAUUUGCUAUUUAGGAAUUCCAUUGUGAAAUCCCAGAACUCAUUCCCUACGUGCCCAUUACUCGGUCUAGUUGGGAAGGGCUGUGCUUUAAUAAACGGAGAUUAAAGAGAUUUCUAACCAACCCCGUUUACACGCAUUAUAAAUGAUCACAGCGCUCUGUAGAACAGCUGCGGGGUGAGGCCGGGUAGCCAACACCGCGGUACCCCGUUAGGACGGCCCCGCUCCCCCCAUCUCCUCCCGCGCCACGGCCCGCUGUGUGCGCCGCCAGAGAGGCAGCCCAGAG
Molecule: long non-coding RNA, 4173 nt
Filed under: Gallus gallus (chicken)
Lineage: Eukaryota; Metazoa; Chordata; Aves; Galliformes; Phasianidae
Source: RNAcentral